UACAGAGGUGCCGAGCGUUAGGCGGAAUCACUGGGCUUAAAGCGCGCGUAGGCGGGCGUCUAAGUGUCUUGUGAAAUCCCACGGCUCAACCGUGGAACUGUUGGGCAUACUGGACGCCUUGAGGCACGCAGGGGCGAGCGGAACAAGUGGUGGAGCGGUGAAAUGCGUAGAUAUCACUUGGAACGCCGACGGUGAAAACAGCUCGCUGGGCGUGUUCUGACGCUGAGGCGCGAAAGCCAGGGGAGCGAACGGG
This 253-nucleotide ribosomal RNA is filed under the name uncultured bacterium. Its description in RNAcentral is "partial 16S ribosomal RNA". It matches the Rfam family "Bacterial small subunit ribosomal RNA", at positions 524 to 776 of the family's 1533-position model. The record is from RNAcentral.